Molecule: long non-coding RNA, 3870 nt
Organism: Alexandromys fortis (reed vole)
Lineage: Eukaryota; Metazoa; Chordata; Mammalia; Rodentia; Cricetidae
Exons: 2
Source: RefSeq, a predicted model, not a curated record
CCCCACUGUUGUGGCCCUCGGCGCUCGCUCGAGCCGGCUCUCGCCUCGACCCCGCACGGCGUGCCUGCCCGCCUUUCCUUUCGCUCUCCGUCGCUUUUCUUCCCUCCAGCACCCUCAGCCGCCUCCGCGGACGCCACCUCUGGAGUGCCGACAGCUCGACGGAAGUGACGUCACAUGUGGCCCUGUCUCCGUAGCAACGGAGACGCUAUUUCUGCUUUGGCUCCGAAGGAGGGGUUUGGGGUUCCCGGAGUGAUUUCCUCUGCUCGCCCGGAAACCGAGGCGCGCUCGCGGAUCCCUCAGGGUGAGCGUUGCGAUGUGCCUGGGAACGACCCAGACAUGGCGCCGCGUCCCGCCCGUCGACGGCCUUUGGCUCUCGGCCCGGGGGAGCAGGGUUGUCAGCUGAGGACUCCGGGUGGACCCUGGAAAGGGUGAGGGACUCGCGGCCUGGCCGCGGAUCCUGCCCGCCCGGUGCCCAGUCGCCGGAGGUGUCCAGAGUAGAAGUCAAAGACUAAACUCGCCCCAGACCCCUCCCGCGGGCGCCACGCUGCCUCCCACACCGCCGCCGCCUACACUUCUCCCCAGCCGCUUCGCGCACGGCAAGGAGACGCUCGGUGACGCGCAGCGGUUGGGAAAUUGAACUGGCAAACGAACAGUUCGUGAAGACUUGAACGUCUUAGCAGGGUUUGUUGUUAUUUUAGGAGACUCGUUCUCGGGGGGAGGUGGUUGACGACUUUGAGGCUCAUUUCUGAGUGAGAAGGAGCGCUGAUUAGGCUUCGCUGUUAUACCCAUGGGAACCGAAUUGUGAUUCGGAUUUUAAAGGAUGAGAAUUACUGACCGUUUUAAUCUAUUCAGUAGAAAGUGAAUCUGAAGACUCGUCUUUCACAUCCUCAAGGAAACCCAAGCUUGUUAAUUGCCUUAACUGUAUUAGAUGCUGAGGAGCUGAGUCAAAGUGACAUCAUUUUUUUAACAGGCUGGUAUUGACUCAGAAUUCUGUUCCUUUCCAAAAAUGCGCCAUUUGAUGAUGGAAUGUUCGUCCCAAAAGUUCCUCCUCGUUCUAAUACAGGCUUGGAGGCACAGGAAGAGGCAGGCUGUGCGACUUCAACACAGUCUGCAUAACCGGCUCCAGCCCAACUAGCACCUCUUUUUGGUUUUUGCUGGCAGGGUUUCUCUGUGUAACAGUCCUGGCUGUCCUGGAACUCACUCUGUAGACCAGGCUGGCCUCGAACUCACUGAGAUUCACCUGCCUCUACCUCCCAAAAAGUGUGUGGCACUCCAGACUCAGGUGGAUCUCUAUGAUACAAGGACAGUCUAGUGGACUUAGUGAGUUCCACGCCAGCCAGAGCUGGGAGACUUUGUCUGAAAAGGAGGAGGAAGAAAAAAAGGAAAUAAGAAACAAUCUCUUUUAGCUCUAAAAUGCUGUACUAUUUCCUUGACACCAUGCUUUACCUACAACAUUCCUUCCGCCACCACCCCCAAUUUUGAUUGAGAUCUCUUAUUUUGGACUGAAGCACUUAAAUGACCUUUCUGUCCCCAGACUCUAUUUCUGCCAGUCUUACCAUAGGGCAAUUAAUGUUUCCGAAACACUUUUUGUUUUAUCAUUCUCUAUUCCAGCUCCAAUUGAGCUGCAAAGUGAACUCUAUACCUGUGUUCAGUAGCUACAAUUUAUCCCAGAGCUUUGGGUCAGUCUGUCCUUGAGCCAGCUCUUCUGUGUGUAUACUGUUCAUCCAACUUUAUCAUCUGCUGGGUGCUUUCCUGAUCCACCGUAAGAAAUAGAUUCUAAGCCUUGACAUAAACACUAAAACCACACUCAGGAGGCAGAGGCAGGCAGAUCUCUCUGAGUUUGAGGCCAGCCUGAUCUACAGAACAAGUCCCAGGACAGUCAAAGUUGACUGUCUCAAAAAUCAAAGCAGAAAGUUAGUUCUUUGUAACCUAAUGUCCACAUCCACACAGCUGACGUGCAGUGUGCCUUCCUGUGAGGCACAGAAUGGAAACAGUGAUGGAGGUCAAAGGACGAUUUGUGGAGCCUGUUCUCUCCUUCCAGGUGGCCAGACUCUGCACCUUUUCAUUCUAAAUGUUCUAUAGUAAUAGUUUAAAUUGUAACAUCACCAAGAACAAGUUUUUUUGUUUGUUUGGUUUGGUUUUUCAAGACAGGAUUUUUUUUUUGUGUGUGUGUGUGUGUGUGUGUGUGUGUAACCCUGGCUGUCCUGGAACUAGCUCUAUAGGUCAGAUUGGCCUCAAAACUCCCAGAGAUCCCCCUUGCCUGUGCCUCCUCAGUGCUGGAAUUAAAGGCAUGUGCCACCUCUACCCAGCCCCAAGAACAAGUUUUUGAUUUAUUAGGUUAUUUGUCAAAAAGUAUAUGUGCCACAUCCACCAUAUCCACCAGUGCUGAAUAAAGAAGUUGUUCUUAUUUUGUUUUUCUCUUUGAAACAAGGUCUCACUAUGUAAACCAGGCUGGCCUUGAACUCAGAGACCCUUCUGCCUUUGCCCCCCCUAGUGUUGGGAAUUAAAGGUGUGCAACAGUAUGCCUGGCUGGUUUUCAAACCUUAAUAUAAGCCGGGCGGGCGAUGGUGGCGCACGCCUUUAAUCCCAGCACUCGGGAGGCAGAGGCAGGCGGAUCUCUGUGAGUUCGAGACCAGCCUGGUCUACAGAGCUAGUUCCAGGACAGGCUCCAAAGCCACAGAGAAACCCUGUCUCGAAAAACCAAAAUAAUAAUAAUAAUAAUAAUAAUAAUAAUAAUAAUAAUAAACUUAACAUAAGAUCAAUUUUCCUUUUCCUACAUCAGAAGGCAAUUAAUACUCUUUCCCUAAGAUUUGCAUUAACUGAGUUAUGCCAUUCACUUUAUAUUUUAAGGUCAUAUGUAAAGGUCUUAUUGACUGUUUCAUUCUAGUGAAAUUUCAGGUGUUUUGCUUUCAAAGUCAUAUAGCUAACACUGUCCCUGAACUCCUGACCUUUCCAAUUCAUCUCAAGUUAGUCAGUUAUUAUAUGUCCCUUCACAUCCAGCUAUCUUAGGAAUUUUGAAAGUAUUAAGCUUCACCAAGUAGUCACACCUUUAAUCCCAGAAUUUGGGAGGCAGAGGCAGUAAGAUCUCUGAGUUCGAGGCCAGUCUGAUUUACAAAAUGUGUUCCAGGAUUGCCAGAGGUACACAGAGAAAACCUGUCUUGGAAAAUGUAGUGAUAUUUUGUGUUUUAACAAAUAAAGCUUCCCUGAAGAUCAGAGAGUGAAGAGCUUAACCACUAGAGGCCAGGCAAUGGUGGCCAUACCUUUAAUCCCAGCACUAGGGAGGAGGAGACAGGAGCUAAGUGCAGUCUGAGGUUUGGUGAAGAUGGUUGCAGUGUGCACUCUAAGGAGGCAGCCUGAGGACAGGAUCCCCCUUCUGGUCUGAGGAUUUGGGAAAGGUAAAAGGUCUCUCUGCUUCUCUGACCUUUCAGCUUUCAUCCCCUACUAUCUGACUCCAGGUUUUUAUUAUUAAGACCAAUUAGAAUUCAUGCUACAGUGGGGGAAAAAGUAUUAAACUUCCACAAGUACGCACAUUUCUAUAUCUUUUCACUUUCCUAAUUCUCCCCUCUUCCUCUUGCUCCCUCUUUUCCUCCCUCGCCCCUUCUUUCUCCAGGGUCUCACUAUGUAGUUUUGGGUGUCCUGGAACUCGCUAUGCAGACCAGACUAGCCUCUAAUCCACAGAAACCCACUGGGAAUCAAGGGGUGCACCACUAUGCCUGGCUUCUAUUCCUUUUUCUAAUAAUACUCUUUGAGAGUAUUUUAUUGUAUCUUGAAUAACAUCAUGACUUUAUAUUCACAUAUAUAAUCAUGUAUUAUAUUGAUGACAUCCUUUUCCUAAAAACAUAGAAGCCCCCCCCCCAAAAAAAAAACUCA